GAUGAAGAACGCAGCGAAAUGCGAUACGUAAUGUGAAUUGCAGAAUUCAGUGAAUCAUCGAGUCUUUGAACGCACAUUGCGCCCCCUGGUAUUCCGGGGGGCAUGCCUGUCCGAGCGUCAUUGCUGCCCUCAAGCACGGCUUGUGUGUUGGGCCUCCGUCCUCCUCCCGGGGGACGGGCCCGAAAGGCAGCGGCGGCACCGCGUCCGGUCCUCGAGCGUAUGGGGCUUCGUCACCCGCUCUUGUAGGCCCGGCCGGCGCUUGCCGACACAUCAAUCUUUUUUCCAGGUUGACCUCGGAUCAGGUAGGAUUACCCGCUGAACUUAAGCAUAUCAAUAAGCGGAGGA
Molecule: unclassified non-coding RNA, 345 nt
Filed under: soil metagenome
Description: partial contains 5.8S ribosomal RNA, internal transcribed spacer 2, and large subunit ribosomal RNA
Rfam family: 5.8S ribosomal RNA (bases 1-120)
Source: RNAcentral